AAAGCAGGCUGCAAUUGCAGUGCUCCCUGCCGUGGGGCGGCUGCCAUUUCCCUGCUGAGAGCAACGCCGUU
RNAcentral lists this small nucleolar RNA (71 nucleotides) under Nothoprocta perdicaria. Its description in RNAcentral is "Small nucleolar RNA SNORA69 (ENSNPEG00000003873.1)". Lineage: Eukaryota; Metazoa; Chordata; Aves; Tinamiformes; Tinamidae. The record is from RNAcentral.